AGCCUGAUGGAGCACGACGCGUGAGGGACGAAGGCCUCUGGGCUGUUAACCUCUUUUCUCGGGGAAGAAGUUAUGAAGGUACUUGAGGAAUAAGCCACGGCUAAUUCCGUGCCAACAGCCGCGGUGAUACCGGAGUGGCAAGCGUUAUCCGGAAUUAUUGGGCGUAAAGCGUCCGCAGGCGGCCUUUCAAGUCUGCUGUUAAAGCGUGGAGCUUAACUCCAUUAUGGCAGUGGAAACUGAUCGGCUUGAGUAUGGUAGGGGCAGAGGGAAUUCCCAGUGUAGCGGUGAAAUGCGUAGUUAUCGGGAAGAACACCAGUGGCGAAGGCGCUCUGCUGGGCCAUUACUGACGCUCAUGGACGAAAGCCAGGGGAGCGAAAGGGAUUAGAUACCCCUGUAGUCCUGGCCGUAAACGAUGAACACUAAGUGUCGGGGGAAUCGACCCCUUCGGUGUCGUAGCUAACGCGUUAAGUGUUCCGCCUGGGGAGUACGCACGCAAGUGUGAAACUCAAAUGAAUUGACGG
This 521-nucleotide ribosomal RNA is filed under the name uncultured bacterium. RNAcentral describes it as "bacterial SSU rRNA". It matches the Rfam family "Bacterial small subunit ribosomal RNA", at positions 380 to 916 of the family's 1533-position model. The record is from RNAcentral.